Molecule: long non-coding RNA, 2000 nt
Organism: Passer domesticus (house sparrow)
Lineage: Eukaryota; Metazoa; Chordata; Aves; Passeriformes; Passeridae
Exons: 2
Source: RefSeq, a predicted model, not a curated record
AGGUGGGGGCUGGCCUGCCUCAAGCGCCUUUCCUGGGGGAAGAGACCGACACUCGCCUUUCACCGGAGCUCUGCAGAAGUUGAGGGCUGCUGGGAGGCAGCAGAGGCUCCUCGGAGGGCAGGUAGAAGGUGCUUAUGGGCGGCUCCAUGUGGGGUUGAGUAGACUGGCCUGGGUUCCUGCCUCAGAGGCGGGCUGAAAUGGGCGAAACUGGGGUGUUGCUGUCGGGGUGCUGCUCUUCUGGGGUAAGAUCUAGGGUGGCUGAACCCACGUGUUCCUGCAACAAGUCCUUGAGACAGCUCAGUAAGAUGCGACUUGCAUUUCCCUUUUAUUGGAGACACUACAGUAGCUACGACUGUUGGGCCGCGGGGUGGACUCCCGUCCUGUGGGGUGUUCGACGUGUGCUGGCUCGCUGGUCCCGCGCGCGCUGUGGACGUGUUUGUGUGUGGGCUGGUUGUAGCCUGGUGUGAGCUCCACGCAGCCGACUCGCUUCACAGGUCCGGCUUGAAACCGCUCUGAUAGCCCAAGAUGAAGGGCUCUGACAUGACCCACUGAUUCAUUAAAAAACAUAGCAAUAUAUGGGAUCAUACCGACUCCUUAAAUCAAAUGGCCUUCCUGAAUAAAAAGCUGAUUACCCCCAGUAGCAGGCUGAGAAUAAGACUCCUGCAUAGCAACUUGCAGUUGAAAACACUUAUUCAUCUUGCUUGAAUUUAACAAUGAACAGCACUUCAUACUAUAGGAUGCAGCAGCUGUCAUUUGAGUUCCUAAUUGCUUCAUUCACAUAGACUACUUUACCCAGGAAGACUACAUUUUCUAUGAUGCAAUGCAAGUGUUCAUCUGGGAAAUGCAUAGUUGGGAGAUGGCUCCAUCAGGGAAAUCAGUGAAAGAAUGUCAAGUGUGUCAGAUGUAAGAUAAAAGAAGUAGAAAUAACAUUGUUGACUUGAAACUUGAUAUCUACUUUUUGUUUUCACCAAAACCUGAGACUACACCAAUAGUUUAUUCUUUUAACAGGUGUUUAAAGAGCUUUGUAGAAACUGUUUUCCAUUAAAACUGGAUGGAAAAUUCAGUGAACUGUAUAAGAUUUGCAAACUGUUUUUUUUAAAAAAGAUCAACAGAAAACCUGAAUAUUGUUUAAAAUAUGCAAGUAUUUGCUUCUUUACAUACUGCUAAGCUCAUAGACAGUAUCAUUGAUUUGUCAUUUAAUAGGUAAUCUUUUUACAUCUAGGCAAAGAACUUUUUCUGCUGUCAGUUGCUUAUAUUAAGAAAAUGGCUAAUGGUUUUUAAUCAAGGAGUUUAAAUUGCAGACUACAUACAGGGACUCAACUGUGUUCUGCAGAGUUUAUUUUCUGUAUAUGCUAUAAGGUGUUUUUUCUUUGGGAUCAUGAGCUCUACCUUCUGAACAGGAAAUGAGUAUAAACUGAUGUUUGUGCUUCUGGAUAUAGACAGUACAAAACAGUUACUCUUGAGGUACCAGUUUUGUAAGUUCACAGAUACCUUGCUUGAGAUAUUAACUUGCAUUUUCAUCAUUUUAGGUAUAUACUUUAGAAGUGAUCUACUGGAUUUAUAACUUAAUUCCUACUAAAUUUUGGAGGUAUUUGGGAGCCUGAAUGCUACAGACAAGAGAUAAGGAUGAAGCACUUUAUUUUACUAUUAAUAUGGUAUUGAUUUCAGUAUUUCUGAGAGCAGAUGAAUGGAAUAUAUAGCAAGUAAAAAGGAAGAAAUUAAUGAUUGCAUGUGUACAAGAGCAGAGGAAAUUUAUAUUUAAUUUUCACCCCAUCACUCUCUGUUAAUAAUUGUUCACAUCCUGAAGUUUUUUUUCUUCUAUGUUAUUCUACCACUAUUUCUGUUUUAAACAAGUGUCUAGUAAGUCAGUAAAAAUGCUCUUCUAAAUUGGGUAAUGGCUUUUCUUUACCAGGUCUUAACCAGCUGCUGAAAUAAAAAUAACACACUAAUGCCACUGGAAAAAUUCUUCCUGUCAUAAUAAAGAAGCUUUAUAGUGAAAA